This 73-nucleotide transfer RNA is filed under the name Nocardia pulmonis. Its description in RNAcentral is "tRNA-Gln". It matches the Rfam family "tRNA". Rfam says of the family: Transfer RNA (tRNA) molecules are approximately 80 nucleotides in length. Their secondary structure includes four short double-helical elements and three loops (D, anti-codon, and T loops). RNAcentral also lists the same sequence under 1 other name. Lineage: Bacteria; Bacillati; Actinomycetota; Actinomycetes; Mycobacteriales; Nocardiaceae. The record is from RNAcentral.
UGUCCCGUGGUGCAAUGGGUAGCACGGCGGAGUUUGGUUCCGCAGGUUCCUGGUUCGAGUCCAGGCGGGACAG